UCCGGUUUGUCACCGGCAGUCUCCCAUGAGUCCCCAACUUAAUGCUGGCAACAUGGAACGGGGGUUGCGCUCGUUGCGGGACUUAACCCAACAUCUCACGACACGAGCUGACGACAGCCAUGCAGCAUCUGUGUGGCACCCUCGAAGGUCAUACGUUUCCGUGCGCUUGCAGCCACAUGUCAAGCCCAGGUAAGGUUUUUCGCGUUGCAUCGAAUUAAAGAACAUGCUCCGCUGCUUGUGCGGGCCCCCGUCAAUUCCUUUGAGUUUCAGCCUUGCGGCCGUACUCCCCAGGCGGGGCACUUCAUGCGUUAGCGCCGGUACUCCAAGGGUCGCUCCCAGGAGCACCUAGUGCCCAUCGUUUACGGCGUGGACUAC
This 375-nucleotide unclassified non-coding RNA is filed under the name uncultured Actinomycetes bacterium. RNAcentral describes it as "uncultured actinobacterium contains 16S-23S intergenic spacer region". The record is from RNAcentral. Lineage: Bacteria; Bacillati; Actinomycetota; Actinomycetes.